This 305-nucleotide ribosomal RNA is filed under the name uncultured bacterium. RNAcentral describes it as "bacterial SSU rRNA". It matches the Rfam family "Bacterial small subunit ribosomal RNA", at positions 337 to 635 of the family's 1533-position model. The record is from RNAcentral.
UCCUACGGGACGCAGCAGUAGGGAAUUUUCGUCAAUGGGCGCAAGCCUGAACGAGCGAUGCCGCGUGAGUGAAGAAGGCCUUCGGGUCGUAAAGCUCUGUUGCGGGGGAAAAAGGCAUCUGCAGGAAAUGGUAGAUGACAGAUGGUGCCCCGCCAGAAAGUCACGGCUAACUACGUGCCAGCAGCCGCGGUAAUACGUAGGUGGCGAGCGUUAUCCGGAUUGAUUGGGCGUAAAGGGUGCGUAGGCGGUUGUGUAAGUUGGGGGUGAAAUCCCGCGGCUCAACCGCGGAACAGCGCUGGAGACUG